Molecule: ribosomal RNA, 502 nt
Filed under: uncultured bacterium
Lineage: Bacteria
Description: partial 16S ribosomal RNA
Rfam family: Bacterial small subunit ribosomal RNA
Source: RNAcentral
AUUGAACGCUGGCGGCAGGCUUAACACAUGCAAGUCGAGCGGGGUGAUGGUGCUUGCACUAUCACUUAGCGGCGGACGGGUGAGUAAUGCUUAGGAAUCUGCCUAUUAGUGGGGGACAACAUCUCGAAAGGGAUGCUAAUACCGCAUACGUCCUACGGGAGAAAGCAGGGGAUCACUUGUGACCUUGCGCUAAUAGAUGAGCCUAAGUCGGAUUAGCUAGUUGGUGGGGUAAAGGCCUACCAAGGCGACGAUCUGUAGCGGGCCUGAGAGGAUGAUCCGCCACACUGGGACUGAGACACGGCCCAGACUCCUACGGGAGGCAGCAGUGGGGAAUAUUGGACAAUGGGGGAACCCUGAUCCAGCCAUGCCGCGUGUGUGAAGAAGGCCUUAUGGUUGUAAAGCACUUUAAGCGAGGAGGAGGCUCUUUUGGUUAAUACCCAUGAUGAGUGGACGUUACUCGCAGAAUAAGCACCGGCUAACUCUGUGCCAGCCGCCGCCGUAA